This 322-nucleotide ribosomal RNA is filed under the name uncultured eukaryote. Its description in RNAcentral is "partial 18S ribosomal RNA". It matches the Rfam family "Eukaryotic small subunit ribosomal RNA", at positions 1470 to 1796 of the family's 1831-position model. The record is from RNAcentral.
CCCUUAGAUGUUCUGGGCCGCACGCGUGCUACACUGAGUGGAUCAGCGGGUCAGGUUGCGCGAAAGUGUUUCCUAAUCUUGAAAUCCGCUCGUGAUGGGGAUUGACGGUUGCAAAUUUCCGUCAUGAACGAGGAAUACCUUGUAAGCGCGGGUCAUCAUCCCGCGCUGAAUACGUCCCUGCCCUUUGUACACACCGCCCGUCGCUCCUACCGAUUGAGUGGUCCGGUGAGGCUUUGGGAUCUGAGCGGAAAGAGCGUUUCGCUGUUUCUGCUCGGAAAACUCAGUCGAACCUUAUCAUUUAGAGGAAGGAGAAGUCGUAACA